GGUUCGGUGGCGGAGUGGUCCGCGUCUGCUUUAUCUGCAGAUGAUUUCAAUAGCGCUUAAUGCAGAGUACGCUCGUUCGAUUCGGGCUCGAGCCG
Molecule: non-coding RNA, 95 nt
Organism: Mycena sp. CBHHK59/15
Lineage: Eukaryota; Fungi; Basidiomycota; Agaricomycetes; Agaricales; Mycenaceae
Source: the annotation of a GenBank genome assembly